This 1069-nucleotide long non-coding RNA is filed under the name Marmota monax (woodchuck). The record is from RNAcentral. Lineage: Eukaryota; Metazoa; Chordata; Mammalia; Rodentia; Sciuridae.
AACCCAGGGCCUUGCGCAUGCCAGGCGAGCACUCUACCCCAAGUCCCAGCCCAGCCCCAGCCAGCUUUUUAGUAGACAAUGGUCUGAAUGGACAUUUCUCCAAAGAAGAUGCACAAUCGACCAAUAAGCCCUUGAAAAUGUGCUCCAUGUCCUGAGCAAGUAGCACAGUCGGCUGACGGCUGGCAGAAGAGAAGCCACAGGAGGCAGGAAAGGGUCUUGGCCUCUUGAAGAGCGGUGGAAUGGGGAGAUGGCAAAACCCACCUUAACAGACUCCUGGCGAUGAAUUCCAGGGGAACGUGGGUCUAAAUGCAACAAGUUUCUCCAAAAAUCCUUUAGAAGAGACUUUGGGGUCACUCCCUCCAGAAGCUCCUGGAAGCUGUCCCUAGGCUUCUCUGGGCUCCUGUGGCUGCUGGCACCUGGCUUACACUGGGCCAGUCCACUCUGGCCCCGUCUCCCCGUGCUUCUCCUGUGUGAGUGUCUGAGCUCCCACUGCCUCUCUUACAGGAAGACUUUCGAUGGCACUCAGGGGCCACCAGGGAGUCUGGGACAAUCUCCUUUGCUCGAAAUCCCUAACUUGAUCACAUCUGCAACGUGGAGCACAGUGCAGCCCGCUAAGGCUGGUGUCACUGUCCUCAGGGAAAUGCACAGGAGAUGCAAAUUACUAUCCCCUACAGUCACCGCACACCCACAGGGAGCGAAAGCCCAAGGGCAACCCGGGCUGGUGGCACCUGGGACCCACCAGAGCUCCCACGCAGCCCUCUGGUAAAGCAGGUCAACCUGCAGGGAUCGCCCUGUGGCGCUGGCUGGCAGGACGGCAGCCGAGCAGUGUGACGAGACCCAGAAGCUCUGGUUCCCGCAGAGAGUCCUCCCAGGCCCUCCAUCAACAGGGGCGUCUGCGUCACUGUCUGCCUCUCGGAGGCUCAGACCAUCCCCUCCAUCCCCUCCAUGGAAGGCAGGGUGGGGAAGACUGUGGGGUGUCUGAGGAUGGCUGCGAAAGGCCCCCGACUUCUGCUUCCCUUGUCAGAAUUCUUGGUCUCAGCGCCCCGGGCCCCGGGCCCCAGGCAAGGAG